This 451-nucleotide small RNA is filed under the name Pongo abelii (Sumatran orangutan). RNAcentral's name for it is "processed transcript". The record is from RNAcentral. Lineage: Eukaryota; Metazoa; Chordata; Mammalia; Primates; Hominidae.
CGAUCGGCCAACGGCAGCGCCAAGAGCCCGGCAGGCGGCGGCGGCAGCGGCGCCUCGUCCACCAACGGCGGGCUGCACUACUCAGAGCCCGAGAGCGGCUGCAGCAGCGACGACGAGCACGAUGUUGGGAUGAGAGUCGGAGCCGAAUACCAAGCUCGGAUCCCUGAAUUUGAUCCAGGCUCCCCGGCGGUCACGAGAUUUCAGCCUGUGCAGGGAUUGGGCGAGAGUUCCGCAUAUGGAGGCACCCUUGUUAGAGCCUCUCGGAGUGGAGCGCAUUUCCUUUUCCCCACCCUGCCCGAGACCCUUCUCAGUUAAGGCUUUGGACCGACUUUGAAAGGGGCCCAUCUUUUUUUUUCCUCCUUACAGUUUGUCAGUUUUUGCCCAGUGCCCAUAUAUUGCGUUUGUGUCUGACCUUGGAUUUGUAUGUUAGAUAUUAAAGAGCUUACUUUUA